RNAcentral lists this ribosomal RNA (935 nucleotides) under uncultured bacterium. RNAcentral's name for it is "bacterial SSU rRNA". It matches the Rfam family "Bacterial small subunit ribosomal RNA", at positions 8 to 978 of the family's 1533-position model. The record is from RNAcentral.
AGAGUUUGAUCCUGGCUCAGAAUCAACGCUGGCGGCGUGCCUAACACAUGCAAGUCGAACGAGAAAGUGGAGCAAUCCAUGAGUAAAGUGGCGCACGGGUGAGUAACACGUGACUAACCUACCUUUUAGUGGGGGAUAACUUAGGGAAACCUGGGCUAAUACCGCAUAACACCUACGGGUCAAAGCAGCAAUGCGCUGGAAGAGGGGGUCGCGGUCGAUUAGUUAGUUGGCAGGGUAAUGGCCUACCAAGACUGUGAUCGAUAUCCGGCCUGAGAGGGCGCACGGACACACUGGAACUGAAACACGGUCCAGACUCCUACGGGAGGCAGCAGUGGGGAAUUUUGCGCAAUGGGGGAAACCCUGACGCAGCAACGCCGCGUGGAGGAUGAAGUCCCUUGGGACGUAGACUCCUUUCGAUCGGGACGAUUAUGACGGUACCGGAAGAAGAAGCCCCGGCUAACUUCGUGCCAGCAGCCGCGGUAAUACGAGGGGGGCAAGCGUUGUUCGGAAUUAUUGGGCGUAAAGGGUGCGUAGGCGGUUCGGCAAGUCUUGUGUGAAAUCUUCAGGCUCAACUUGAAGUCUGCACAAGAAACUGCCGGGCUUGAGUAUGGGAGAGGUGAGUGGAAUUUCCGGUGUAGCGGUGAGAUGCGUAGAUAUCGGAAGGAACACCUGUGGCGAAAGCGGCUCACUGGACCAUUACUGACGCUGAUGCACGAAAGCUAGGGGAGCAAACAGGAUUAGAUACCCUGGUAGUCCUAGCCCUAAACGAUGAUCGCUUGGUGUGGCGGGUAUCCAACCCUGCCGUGCCGCAGCUAACGCGUUAAGCGAUCCGCCUGGGGGAGUACCGUCGCAGCUGAAACUCAAAGAUUGACGGGGCCCGCACAGCGGUGGAGCAUGGUGGUUUAAUUCGACCGCACGCGAAGAACCUUACCUGG